GACAGGUGCUGCAUGGCUGUCGUCAGCUCGUGUUGUGAAAUGUUGGGUUAAGUCUCGCAACGAGCGCAACCCCUAUCUUUAGUUGCCAGCAUUAAGUUGGGCACUCUAGAGAGACUGCCUGGGUUAACCAGGAGGAAGGUGGGGAUGACGUCAAGUCCUCAUGGCCCUUAUGUCCAGGGCUACACACGUGAUACAAUGGUGCAUACAAAGGGAAGCGACCUGGUGACAGUGAGCAAAUCUCAAAAAGCGCGUCUCAGUCCGGAUUGGAGUCUGCAACUCGACUCCAUGAAGUUGGAAUCGCUAGUA
This 306-nucleotide ribosomal RNA is filed under the name uncultured Peredibacter sp. RNAcentral's name for it is "bacterial SSU rRNA". It matches the Rfam family "Bacterial small subunit ribosomal RNA", at positions 1033 to 1340 of the family's 1533-position model. Lineage: Bacteria; Pseudomonadati; Bdellovibrionota; Bacteriovoracia; Bacteriovoracales; Bacteriovoracaceae. The record is from RNAcentral.